Molecule: ribosomal RNA, 407 nt
Filed under: uncultured bacterium
Lineage: Bacteria
Description: partial 16S ribosomal RNA
Rfam family: Bacterial small subunit ribosomal RNA
Source: RNAcentral
AUUGAACGCUGGCGGCAGGCCUAACACAUGCAAGUCGAGCGGAGCGGCGGACGGGUGAUUAAUGCCUAGUAAUCUGCCUGGUAGCGGUGGAUAACGUCCGGAAACGGGCGCUAAUACCGCAUACUAUCAGAUUAGCCUAUGUCGGAUUAGCGAGUUGGUGGGGUAAAGGCCUACCAAGGCGACGAUCCGUAACUGGUCUGAGAGGAUGAUCAGUCCCACUGGAACUGAGACACGGUCCAGACUCCUAAGGUAGGCAGCAGUGGGGAAUAUUGGACAAUGGGCGAAAGCCUGAUCCAGCCAUGCCGCGUGUGUGAAGAAGGUCUUCGGAUUGUAAAGCACUUUAAGUUGGGAGGCGUUACCAACAGAAUAAGCACCGGCUAACUUCGUGCCAGCAGCCGCGGUAAUAC